AGCGAAGUGUCAAGCAACUGCUCCGUGCAUUCGUAUGCAGAUGGACUGUCGCUUGAUUGGAGAAUUAACCGCCGCUUCUCCUUGACUGACGAUGGAAUAAUGUACUGUUCGUCUUCCCGGUUCAAACCUGCUCGAAUUCCAAGAAACACCUACGUCAAUUUGCAAGAUCGCGCAAUUUCUUAUCAGCGUGAAGCACACGAAAUCCGAUGAAAACGACGUCGGAAGAGCGAAACUGAAAAGCAACGAAGCGGCGCAUCUGGCACAGCGGCGGAGACCACCGCGUCAUUAUUUAUGGGGUUUACGGGGUUCGGUCAACCGCAAGGGUAGCUGAAGGCACUACGCCCUUGAGGACUCGAGCUUCCAAGUCGGGGUGUUGCCAAGUGUGAACCGAGAAGGCGUUGCUGUUUACUAUCUCGCCACGAAGAUCCAACCGACCUCCCGAGCAUACGUUUGCGUAUAUUGUUGGUCCGUGGUCGCAUUCCCUGGUCCCAUCAUCUCCCUCUGAAAACAAUGAGUUUAGUAGCAACUGCUUCACAAGGGAAGUUAACGUUUACCUGUUUAAGGUAAUACGAACAUCAGGAACCCCCCGUGACCGCUAACGAACGCGGAAUACCUUCUGUCAUUAGCGAACGGAAUGGAAAUGUCGGAAGUUAACCCCUUUAAUGGCUCUGUUACCUUUUUUCCGGAAGUUUUUCGUUUGUAGUGUUGAUUGGGGGUUGCUAGACCAUUUUCUAUUUAUUGUUCUUGUGAAAUUUGUCGAAGCAUAAAUGUACACCAUAAGAAUGCCUUAAAGUGGCUGAACUUGAACUGAAUUUUAUUAACAGAAACAUAAAGUUAUAAAUACAUUCUUCAAUUCUCACAAGAAAACAAAACAAAUAAAUGUAAACAAACCAC
Hylaeus anthracinus is the source of this 894-nucleotide long non-coding RNA. RefSeq lists it as uncharacterized. The transcript has 2 exons. The record is from RefSeq and is a predicted model, not a curated record. Lineage: Eukaryota; Metazoa; Arthropoda; Insecta; Hymenoptera; Colletidae.